GUGGGGAAUCUUGCGCAAUGGGCGAAAGCCUGACGCAGCCAUGCCGCGUGAAUGAUGAAGGUCUUAGGAUUGUAAAAUUCUUUCACCGGGGACGAUAAUGACGGUACCCGGAGAAGAAGCUCCGGCUAACUUCGUGCCAGCAGCCGAGGUAAUACGAAGGGGGCUAGCGUUGCUCGGAAUUACUGGGCGUAAAGGGCGCGUAGGCGGACAGCUUAGUCAGAGGUGAAAGCCCAGGGCUCAACCUUGGAAUUGCCUUUGAUACUGGCUGUCUUGAGUUUGGGAGAGGUGAGUGGAACUCCGAGUGUAGAGGUGAAAUUCGUAGAUAUUCGGAAGAACACCAGUGGCGAAGGCGACUCACUGGCCCAAUACUGACGCUGAGGCGCGAAAGCGUGGGGAGCAAACAGGAUUAGAUACCCCAGUAGUCC
RNAcentral lists this ribosomal RNA (425 nucleotides) under uncultured bacterium. RNAcentral describes it as "partial 16S ribosomal RNA". It matches the Rfam family "Bacterial small subunit ribosomal RNA", at positions 354 to 796 of the family's 1533-position model. The record is from RNAcentral.